RNAcentral lists this ribosomal RNA (259 nucleotides) under uncultured bacterium. RNAcentral's name for it is "partial 16S ribosomal RNA". It matches the Rfam family "Bacterial small subunit ribosomal RNA", at positions 99 to 354 of the family's 1533-position model. The record is from RNAcentral.
CGCACGGGUGAGUAACACGUAUGGAACCUGCCCUAUGCAGGGGGAUAAGCGGAAGAAAUUCCGUCUAAUACCGCAUAACACCAUUUGGAGACAUCUCCAGGUGGUCAAAGGAGGCGACUCCGGCAUAGGAUGGCCAUGCGUCGCAUUAGCUAGUCGGCGGGGUAACGGCCCACCGAGGCGACGAUGCGUAGGGGUUCUGAGAGGAAGGUCCCCCACACUGGUACUGAGAUACGGCCCAGACUCCUACGGGAGGCAGCAG